GGUUUGAGGGUGCUCUGUCUAUGACCCCACUGAAGACCAGGCUUGAUUCAUGUGAUCUGGCUGGCUGGCGGGUGUCCCCUUCCUCCCUCACCACUCCAUAUACAUCCUUCCUGAAGGUGCACACUUGUUCAAAGAGGAGGACCUUCCCUGACUGGAGCAGGACAAAUCCUCAGUCAUAUGUAUACAAGUAGCUGCACUCCCCUGCUAGAACCUCCACACAAGCUCUCAAGGGUAUCUUUCAUUGUGUGCCUUCACACAAUCCUCUCUCUCAAGGAACUCCUCUUCAGUUUCUCAUGGAUUUACUGG
This 306-nucleotide small RNA is filed under the name Peromyscus maniculatus bairdii (prairie deer mouse). Its description in RNAcentral is "7SK RNA (ENSPEMG00000002122.2)". It matches the Rfam family "7SK RNA", at positions 1 to 253 of the family's 331-position model. Rfam says of the family: 7SK was discovered as an abundant small nuclear RNA in the mid-70s but a possible function has only recently been suggested. Two independent studies have found that 7SK RNA binds the CDK9/cyclin T complex (known as elongation factor P-TEFb). The record is from RNAcentral. Lineage: Eukaryota; Metazoa; Chordata; Mammalia; Rodentia; Cricetidae.